GACGAACGCUGGCGGCGUGCUUAACACAUGCAAGUCGAACGGAAAGGCUCUGCUUUUGUGGGGUGCUCGAGUGGCGAACGGGUGAGUAACACGUGAGUAACCUGCCCUUGACUUUGGGAUAACUUCAGGAAACUGGGGCUAAUACCGGAUAGGAGCUUCUGCUGUAUGGUGGGGGCUGGACAGUUUCGGCGGUUGGGGAUGGACUCGCGGCUUAUCAGCUUGUCGGUGGGGUAGUGGCUUACCAAGGCUUUGACGGGUAGCCGGCCUGAGAGGGUGACCGGCCACAUUGGGACUGAGAUACGGCCCAGACUCCUACGGGAGGCAGCGGUGGAGAAGAUAGCACAAUGGGCGGAAGCCUGAUGCAGCAACGCCGCGUGCGGGAUGACGGCCUUCGGGUUGGAAACCGCUUUCGCCUGUGACGAAGCGUGAGUGACGGUAAUGGGUAAAGAAGCACCGGCUAACUACGUG
RNAcentral lists this ribosomal RNA (468 nucleotides) under uncultured bacterium. Its description in RNAcentral is "partial 16S ribosomal RNA". It matches the Rfam family "Bacterial small subunit ribosomal RNA", at positions 28 to 507 of the family's 1533-position model. The record is from RNAcentral.